Molecule: signal recognition particle RNA, 99 nt
Filed under: Salibacteraceae bacterium
Lineage: Bacteria; Pseudomonadati; Bacteroidota; Flavobacteriia; Flavobacteriales; Salibacteraceae
Description: signal recognition particle sRNA small type
Rfam family: Bacteroidales small SRP
About the family: The non-coding component of the signal recognition particle in Bacteroides
Source: RNAcentral
GGGUAAGUCUUGUACGACCAGCUCCUAAUGAACUCCCCCAGGUCAGGAAUGAAGCAAGGGUAAUUGGUUGAGCGGUGCGAUAUAAGUAGCUUACCCUUU